Molecule: non-coding RNA, 967 nt
Organism: Bemisia tabaci
Lineage: Eukaryota; Metazoa; Arthropoda; Insecta; Hemiptera; Aleyrodidae
Source: RefSeq, a predicted model, not a curated record
UGACUGUGUCCCAUGUGCUGGGAGAAUGAGCAUGAGGAUUUUUGAAAAUGACGAACGAACAGUUUAAUUAUUAACGCGAAUCUUUUCUUUUGUUGUAUGAUCUUGAUAAUUUCUAAUUUCAAGUUGCUGUUAUGUUUUCUUCAUCUGUUGUCUUGGUGGUUAAGUUGGUUAUCCUAAAAUGUGAAGUGAUGUAGUUCGUUUUUGGGCAAGUAUCUCUUGCGACGAGGAGAAGCCCUAAGAUGGCUACAAAGAGGCAGGCAGCACUAAGUCAACUUGCCAGAAUGUAAAGUAAUAUCCCUAUCUACUAGCAGCUCUCUAGGAAAGUGAAGACUUACGGCGUAGCCAACGAUGUUAACUGCAAAGCAACGAAGGGCCUGCGCCAAGUGUGGACAUAGCAGCAGUAAAUGAACCCAGUCUUUCCAUCGAAUUCCUAAACCAGGAGGAGCCAAUACGGAAAAAUGCCGUCAGUGGGCAAGUUGGCUUUACCCACAAAGUAACUGGGAGUCUGAAUCUGAUCUACUGGCCCUGUACAAAAAGUCGAGAGUUGUUUGCUCAAGUCAUUUUACCGAAGCAGACUUUUCGGACAAUGUGCGACGAACACUGCGUAGAGCUGCUGUACCUCAUGUCACAUCCACGGAUAAAUCUGCCACUUCACUGAUUGCAACCAUUGAGCCACCGAGUUGUAUUGAUGCUGCAAGCUGUGGAUCUUCACAGCAGAAUGGAGAGAUCGGCAUAGAACUAGGGCCAUCCUCUGAAUCCAUCCUUGGUUAUGAAACCCAUACUUCUACGCUACCGCAAGAUACCAUCAUCAGCAACAUACCAUUUCUCCGCUUAGUAGAAUGACGUAACAUUUGAAAUUUAGUUUUGAUAAGGAGAUUGCUGAUUCUUGUUACCUACUUGUGUUCAGAAUUCAGUCAAGUGUUUGUACAUUUUUUUCCAUUCAGAAUUAAAUUACUUUCCAUUAAAA